UACGAAGGGAGCUAGCGUUGUUCGGAAUUACUGGGCGUAAAGCGCGCGUAGGUGGCCUGCCAAGUCAGGGGUGAAAUCCCAGAGCUUAACUCUGGAAUUGCCUUUGAAACUGGUAGGCUUGAGUAUCGGAGGGGAUGGUGGAAUUUCUAAUGUAGCGGUGAAAUGCGUAGAUAUUAGAAGGAACAUCGGUGGCGAAGGCGACCAUCUGGACGAUUACUGACACUGAGGCGCGAAAGCGUGGGGAUCAAACAGG
RNAcentral lists this ribosomal RNA (253 nucleotides) under uncultured bacterium. RNAcentral describes it as "partial 16S ribosomal RNA". It matches the Rfam family "Bacterial small subunit ribosomal RNA", at positions 524 to 776 of the family's 1533-position model. The record is from RNAcentral.